AAUCACCCAGGCUCCCCCCUUCCUGCCCGCUCACCUGCACCGCACGAAGCCCCCCCGGUUCGCGUAGACCCCCAUGGCGAUGCUCUUUCUUUGCUCUCCGCAUUCCUGCGGGCUGUUUGCACCCAAAUCACUCCAAAUCGGGACCUUGGGGGGGAUGGAGCAGCCCCGGGACCACCCCCCCGGCAUCUCCCGGUCCCCCCGGGGGUCACCGCGCAUCCCCGGGACCGGAGCGGGGAAAGGGGACACGAGCUAGGGACGGGGUUUGGAUGGCUCUGGGGGGGCUCUGUCCGUCCUUCUGUCCCUCUGUCCCUCUGUCCCUCUGUCUGUCCGUCCGUCCGCGUGCCCGCGUGCGCGUGCCCGCGCCGCCGCCGCCCCCGCGAGCGGGCGCUGCCGGCUGCGGCGCGGCCCCGGCGGGCGGCGGGAGCAUGGAGGCGGCGGCGGGGCCAGGUGAGGAGGCACCGGGCAGGGGUCGGGGCCGGGGUCGGGGGGAGCAGCAGGGUUAAAGGGUCGCUGGAGGGGUUCCCUGGGGCCGCUGCCCGCUGCUCGUUGUCUGGGGGGGGGGUUCUACCAAGCCCGCUGCCCGCUCGGGCCGCCCCAAGGCGAGAGCGGGCGUCCCGAAAUCCCCCUGCAUCACGGCACGCUGAGAUCCCGGGUGCCUGCAUCCUGAAAUCGCGGGUCUCUGCCUCCCUGCAGCUCUGCAUCCCUGCUUCAUUGCAUCCCGGGUCCCUGCAUCCCGAAAUCCCAGGUCCCGGCAUCACAGCAUCCCAAAAUCCUGGGUCCCUGCAUCCUGAAAUCCCGGGUCCCUUCCUCACUGCCUCCCUGCAUCCCGAGUCCCUUCAUCCCGAAAUCCUGGGACCCUGCAUCCCAAAAUCCCAGGUCCCUGCAUCCUGGCAUCCUGGGUCCCUGCAUCACAGCAUCCCAAAAUGCCGGCGUCCCUGCAUCCCAGGUCCCUGCAUCCCUUCACCCCAGCAUCACAGCAUCCCUGGUCCCUGCCUCCCUGCAUCCCAAAAUCCCAGGUCCCUGCAUCCCAGCACCCUGGUCCCUGCCUCCCUCCAUCCCUCCCGGCACCCCAAAAUCAGCGGCUGUAUGCAGCAGCGCUGUGAAUACCCCCCUGGGCAUACCGCCUGCCCCGAAGGGAAAGGAAAUGAUUUGGGGGGACUUGAAAUAAUCAUAAUUCCAGUUUGUAUCCGGGCCUUCCUGCGGCAAGGUUACCCGGUGUGCGUGCAGCACGGAAGCGCUGCUACGGAGCGCGGAUACGCAGCCGCCUGCAGCACAUCUGCUGCGGGGCUGACCUUCAGCACUGUGUGCUCCGUGAGACAAACACGGCGCUGCCUUCCCCACGACAGCCCUGCUUCAGGCCCGACAGAAGGGGAAAAAAAAAGAAAAAAAAGGCAAAAUUUGUGGCUGCUGCGGGAGGGGCGGGCUUGGUGGCCUCCCGACCUCCACUGGCCGCUGUGGUGCAGGUAUAUGGCUGUCCUGCCCAUCAGUGCUGCUGGAUCGCCUGAAAUCAGGAGAUUUUUAAUGUUUUUCUGA
This 1533-nucleotide long non-coding RNA is filed under the name Anas platyrhynchos platyrhynchos (common mallard). RNAcentral describes it as "lncRNA (ENSAPLG00000019578.1)". The record is from RNAcentral. Lineage: Eukaryota; Metazoa; Chordata; Aves; Anseriformes; Anatidae.